CCAGACUCCUACGGGAGGCAGCAGUGAGGAAUAUUGGUCAAUGGGCGGGAGCCUGAACCAGCCAAGUCGCGUGAGGGAAGACGGUCCUAUGGAUUGUAAACCUCUUUAGGCGGGGAGCAAUGCCGGGCACGCGUGCCCGGAGGGAGAGUACCCGCAGAAUAAGCAUCGGCUAACUACGUGCCAGCAGCCGCGGUAAUACGUAGGGGGCAAGCGUUAUCCGGAUUUACUGGGUGUAAAGGGAGCGUAGACGGACUUGCAAGUCUGAUGUGAAAAUCCGGGGCCCAACCCCGGAACUGCAUUGGAAACUGUAUAUCUAGAGUGUCGGAGAGGCAAGUGGAAUUCCUGGUGUAGCGGUGAAAUGCGUAGAUAUCAGGAGGAACACCAGUGGCGAAGGCGGCUUGCUGGACGAUGACUGACGUUGAGGCUCGAAAGCGUGGGGAGCAAACAGGAUUAGAUACCCUUGUAC
Molecule: ribosomal RNA, 466 nt
Filed under: uncultured bacterium
Lineage: Bacteria
Description: bacterial SSU rRNA
Rfam family: Bacterial small subunit ribosomal RNA
Source: RNAcentral